RNAcentral lists this ribosomal RNA (773 nucleotides) under uncultured bacterium. RNAcentral describes it as "bacterial SSU rRNA". It matches the Rfam family "Bacterial small subunit ribosomal RNA", at positions 8 to 758 of the family's 1533-position model. The record is from RNAcentral.
AGAGUUUGAUCCUGGCUCAGGACGAACGCUGGCGGCGUGCCUAACACAUGCUAGUCGAGCGAAGCGCCUGGUUUUAGCUUGCUAAAUCCGGGUGACUUAGCGGCGAACGGGUGAGUAACACGUGGGCAAUCUAUCCGGAAGACCGGGAUAACAGUGCGAAAGUGCUGCUAAUACCGGAUAACCCCUUAAGAUCGCAUGGUCUGGAGGGCAAAAGUUGGCAACUUCGCUUUCGGGUGAGCCCGCGUCUCAUUAGCUAGUUGGCAGGGUAACGGCCUACCAAGGCGACGAUGAGUAGCUGGUCUGAGAGGAUGGUCAGCCACACUGGGACUGAGACACGGCCCAGACUCCUACGGGAGGCAGCAGUGGGGAAUAUUGCGCAAUGGGCGCAAGCCUGACGCAGCGACGCCGCGUGAGCGAUGAAGGCCUUCGGGUUGUAAAGCACUUUUGUCAGGGAAGAAAAGGUUCUGGCUAAUACCCGGAACUGAUGACGGUACCUGAAGAAUAAGCACCGGCUAACUACGUGCCAGCAGCCGCGGUAAUACGUAGGGUGCAAGCGUUAAUCGGAAUUACUGGGCGUAAAGCGUGCGCAGGCGGUUCGGAAAGAAGGAUGUGAAAUCCCAGGGCUCAACCUUGGAACUGCAUUCUUAAUUACCGAACUAGAGUAUGUCAGAGGGGGGUAGAAUUCCGCGUGUAGCAGUGAAAUGCGUAGAUAUGCGGAGGAAUACCGAUGGCGAAGGCAGCCCCUGGGAUAAUACUGACGCUCAUGCACGAAA